CUGGCUCAGAACGAACGCUGGCGGCGUGGAUAAGACAUGCAAGUCGAACGAGAGAAUUGCUAGCUUGCUAAUAAUUCUCUAGUGGCGCACGGGUGAGUAACACGUGAGUAACCUGCCCCCGAGAGCGGGAUAGCCCUGGGAAACUGGGAUUAAUACCGCAUAGUAUCGAAAGAUUAAAGCAGCAAUGCGCUUGGGGAUGGGCUCGCGGCCUAUUAGUUAGUUGGUGAGGUAACGGCUCACCAAGGCGAUGACGGGUAGCCGGUCUGAGAGGAUGUCCGGCCACACUGGAACUGAGACACGGUCCAGACACCUACGGGUGGCAGCAGUCGAGAAUCAUUCACAAUGGGGGAAACCCUGAUGGUGCGACGCCGCGUGGGGGAAUGAAGGUCUUCGGAUUGUAAACCCCUGUCAUGUGGGAGCAAAUUAAAAAGAUAGUACCACAAGAGGAAGAGACGGCUAACUCUGUGCCAGCAGCCGCGGUAAUACAGAGGUCUCAAGCGUUGUUC
RNAcentral lists this ribosomal RNA (506 nucleotides) under uncultured bacterium. Its description in RNAcentral is "bacterial SSU rRNA". It matches the Rfam family "Bacterial small subunit ribosomal RNA", at positions 19 to 546 of the family's 1533-position model. The record is from RNAcentral.